This is a non-coding RNA of Chiloscyllium plagiosum (whitespotted bambooshark), 2010 nucleotides long. NCBI's taxonomy places the organism in Eukaryota, Metazoa, Chordata, Chondrichthyes, Orectolobiformes, Hemiscylliidae. The record is from RefSeq and is a predicted model, not a curated record.
CAGAGACAUGGACACUGAGUGCAACGGGAUGAGAGGAAUGGAUAACCAGUUAGUGGAGGAUUGCCAGUUAAAGAGGCAAUGAACUAAAUUAUGGAAUAGCACCCAGGUGAUUCCUGAAUGGAGUGUUCACCAGUGAACCAGGUGAAGCAUUCAAAAUGGAAUUGGAUCAAUUUAUGAUUUCGCUAAAGGUUGAACAGAUCCAAGGAUUAAUGAAAGAAACAGUCUGAUCAACAGAACUUUCAUCACUGAGGAGCUGAAGGUGAAACCAGCUCAAGUUUUCUCUCUUGAAUCUUUUUGCGGUCUGGGCUUGCUGUUCCUUUGUCUGACAAUCAGGAAGCCCUUACCCCAAAAAGUAUUUGCGUGGGAUACAGUCUGCAAUGGGGCAUCACUCUACACAGCCAGCAAAUGUAAUUGGCAUCUCAAUAAAGGAUUCAGAAGAGGCAGAAUGUCAACACCCAUUCAGAGCAAAAUAAAUCAUUUCUUUUUCCACAAGUAGGUUUUCCCUAUUGAAGUAAAGGAACGUGGAGGUGAAGGAGAUUUCAGGAGGGAAGGAAAAUUAAAAUGGGAGAUCAGUAGCCAAUGGGAAGGGAAAAGGGAUAAAGAUAGAGCAAACUUUUUUAUAACAAGAGGCUUAUGCACUCAUAUUAUAUAAUUAAACAGGUUACUAUGUAAUGAAGAAAAAUCAUGGCGGGACAUUACAUUUCCAUGAGAUUUUAAUGAGACCUCCUCAGAUAUUAUUGUCCCUAUCACUUAGAGAUACUAUUCUGAGUUUUUCACAUUCCCAAAAUAAGGUACCUGGCCCUUCAAAGCAUGAUCCUUAUGAUGAUUCAUUGUUAUCUUCAACCUGCUAAGAUCCCUAACCUUGUGAUUUAUGGAAUACUCUUUUGGACUCUGUCAUAAGUUUUUCCACUGAGAAUCCCAUAUUUGAAGGCUUUGACUGCUAUCCCAGAUUUGUGGAAAUCAUUGAGUUUCAGUGUGGAAUAUUGUAGCUCAUUGCUGACUCUCUACCUUUGUGACUAUAUUCUGUAAUGUUCUUUCUUCAUCUUGAACAAUGUUCGUAUCAAGAAUUCGGUUCACCUUUCAUUUAACGACCAAGAAACACUGAACAAACCUAGAUGGAAAAAUCCUCUGGAUGGCUCACUUUUCAGAAAUAAGUCCACAUCAUUAAGAUAGUGCAAACUAUGGGGGGAAAGCAAGCUAUGAGUUCCAAGUAUUUCUCAGAGAUAUGAGACAGAAAUAAAUAGAAAACACGGAUAAUCAUGGAUAUUUAGGAAUGAAAUAGGAACAGAAGGAGAUCUUUCAGCCCCUUGAAUCUGUUUCAGUUCAUUAAGGCUGGCUGAUAUCUGUUUUAAAUUCAUCUACUUGGCUUGGUUCCAUUUCUUUUGAUGUCUGAGAAUAAAGUAACCACCUAAUCCCACUUUCCAGCUGUUGGUCUUUAACCAUGUGGGAUACAGAAUUCCAAGGGUAUGUCCAAGCUUUUGUUCGAAAAUGUGAUGUACUUGAGUAACAGUUCAACUUCGUACAGUUCUAGCCUAGUGUUCUUGUUCUUACAUGUUGUACCUUAACUAAUAAAGAAAUCUUGUAUGUUUUCUUAACCAUCACACACCAUUCUGAGAUUACAUGUUUAAAAUGGAAAUCAGUAAAACAUCUCAAGAUGUUUAGAAUGGUAUGAAAACUGAGAAGGGGAGAUAGAAAUCCUUGCUACAUAACCAUAUAACUGUAAAAGAUCAGAUCCCUUGACUUACUGUUCCCUGACUGUUUCUCCAUGAAGAGAUCCCUACAUCACAAUGACCUCUGAAGAUCAACAAUUAAUACCUUUUCCAGUUAUUUUUCAAUCAAGCAUGGGUCUGUUUAAGAACAAGCUUAAUGUGAAGCAACAGAUUGAAGAAUAUGUGAACAGAAGAUGGGGUUGAAAUUGAUUCUAAAGAAACAAUGGUUUGGACCUUUUGUGUGUUUUCAGUUCUGAGGGAAUUCAUUAGAUGGUGGUCCUGUUUCCUCUAUCCCACAUGU